GUAUUGUAUGAGAGGGUGUUCAGUACUCUCCUGGGGAAGAAUUGAAGAGGCCGGGGAACCUAGCAACACCCGUGGUUGAGGGAGGCAUUGCCUCCUACUGAGGCAGGUUGCAAACUACCUUUC
Molecule: small nuclear RNA, 123 nt
Organism: Myodes glareolus (Bank vole)
Lineage: Eukaryota; Metazoa; Chordata; Mammalia; Rodentia; Cricetidae
Source: RefSeq, a predicted model, not a curated record